Molecule: ribosomal RNA, 206 nt
Filed under: Vibrio alginolyticus
Lineage: Bacteria; Pseudomonadati; Pseudomonadota; Gammaproteobacteria; Vibrionales; Vibrionaceae
Also listed under: 3 other names
Description: partial 16S ribosomal RNA
Rfam family: Bacterial small subunit ribosomal RNA
Source: RNAcentral
AAAUUGAAGAGUUUGAUCAUGGCUCAGAUUGAACGCUGGCGGCAGGCCUAACACAUGCAAGUCGAGCGGAAACGAGUUAUCUGAACCUUCGGGGAACGAUAACGGCGUCGAGCGGCGGACGGGUGAGUAAUGCCUAGGAAAUUGCCCUGAUGUGGGGGAUAACCAUUGGAAACGAUGGCUAAUACCGCAUGAUGCCUACGGGCCAA